Molecule: ribosomal RNA, 1545 nt
Filed under: uncultured Neocallimastigales
Lineage: Eukaryota; Fungi; Neocallimastigomycota; Neocallimastigomycetes; Neocallimastigales
Description: partial large subunit ribosomal RNA
Rfam family: Eukaryotic large subunit ribosomal RNA (bases 755-1545)
Source: RNAcentral
UACACGCUGUGACUAGCAUAUCAAUAAGCGGAGGAAAAGAAACUACCGAGGAUUCCCCUAGUAACGGCGAGUGAAGCGGGAAGAGCUCAAAUUUGAAAUCUUAAAGGGUUUCCCUUUACGAAUUGUAGUUUAAAGAAGUGUUUUCUGUUGAGGUUUUGGUAAAAGUUCUUUGGAAUAGGACAUCAUAGAGGGUGAGAAUCCCGUAUUUGACCUUUACUUUCAACUUUGUGAUACACUUUCAAAGAGUCGGAUUGUUUGGGAAUGCAGUCCAAAAUGGGUGGUAAAUUUCAUCUAAAGCUAAAUAUUGGCGAGAGACCGAUAGCGAACAAGUACCGUGAGGGAAAGAUGAAAAGAACUUUGAAAAGAGAGUUAAACAGUACGUGAAAUUGUCAAAAGGGAAGCGUUUGACACCAGUGUUGUUUUUCUGAAAAUCAAUUAAAGAACUGUUUAUGCUAAGUUGUUUAGACUUUAUCAGCUAACUGUUUAGUUUUGAGCUUUUCUUUAAUGCACUUUUCAGUUAACAAGUCAACAUCAAUUUCUUUUGCUGUAAAAAAGCUUGAGGAAGGUGGCUUGAGAUUCGUCUUAAGUGUUUAUAGCCUCUUGCCUAUGCAGUCGGAGAGAUUGAGGUCUGCAGCGUAGAUCCUUCGGGGCUAAAUGCAUUUGUGCUAAGUUAUAGCAUUUUAUAGACAACUUGUUGACUAUGAUUUGUCUUGUAGCUUACUCGCUUAUGUUAUUUUACCUACGCUUAGGAUGUUGACAGCAGUAUAGACUGUACACGCUGUGACUAGCAUAUCAAUAAGCGGAGGAAAAGAAACUAACAAGGAUUCCCCUAGUAACGGCGAGUGAAGCGGGAAGAGCUCAAAUUUGAAAUCUUAAAGGGUUUCCCUUUACGAAUUGUAGUUUAAAGAAGUGUUUUCUGUUGAGGUUUUGGUAAAAGUUCUUUGGAAUAGGACAUCAUAGAGGGUGAGAAUCCCGUAUUUGACCUUUACUUUCAACUUUGUGAUACACUUUCAAAGAGUCGGAUUGUUUGGGAAUGCAGUCCAAAAUGGGUGGUAAAUUUCAUCUAAAGCUAAAUAUUGGCGAGAGACCGAUAGCGAACAAGUACCGUGAGGGAGAGAUGAAAAGAACUUUGAAAAGAGAGUUAAACAGUACGUGAAAUUGUCAAAAGGGAAGCGUUUGACACCAGUGUUGUUUUUCUGAAAAUCAAUUAAAGAACUGUUUAUGCUAAGUUGUUUAGACUUUAUCAGCUAACUGUUUAGUUUUGAGCUUUUCUUUAAUGCACUUUUCAGUUAGCAAGUCAACAUCAAUUUCUUUUGCUGUAAAAAAGCUUGAGGAAGGUGGCUUGAGAUUCGUCUUAAGUGUUUAUAGCCUCUUGCCUAUGCAGUCGGAGAGAUUGAGGUCUGCAGCGUAGAUCCUUCGGGGCUAAAUGCAUUUGUGCUAAGUUAUAGCAUUUUAUAGACAACUUGUUGACUAUGAUUUGUCUUGUAGCUUACUCGCUUAUGUUAUUUUACCUACGCUUAGGAUGUUGACAGCAGUAUAGACUGU